Molecule: transfer RNA, 77 nt
Filed under: Candidatus Anoxychlamydiales bacterium
Lineage: Bacteria; Pseudomonadati; Chlamydiota; Chlamydiia; Candidatus Anoxychlamydiales
Description: tRNA-Glu
Rfam family: tRNA
About the family: Transfer RNA (tRNA) molecules are approximately 80 nucleotides in length.
Source: RNAcentral
UGGCCCCAUCGUCUAGCUCGGCCUAGGACACCAGGUUUUCAUCCUGGUAACAGGGGUUCGAAUCCCCUUGGGGUCAA